This 1619-nucleotide ribosomal RNA is filed under the name metagenome. RNAcentral's name for it is "bacterial LSU rRNA". It matches the Rfam family "Bacterial large subunit ribosomal RNA", at positions 1311 to 2925 of the family's 2925-position model. The record is from RNAcentral.
AAAAAAACAUGUGAGAACCAUGUUCCCCGUAAACCUAAGGUUUCCGACGGAAGGUCAGUCCGCGUCGGGUUAGUCGGUCCUUAGCCGAGGUCGAAAGACGUAGGUGAUGGACAUCCGGUUAAUAUUCCGGAACCACUUAGAUGGAGCGAUGAAGGGACGCGGCGUGGUAGGUCAGCCUCUUAUUGGAUUGAGGUGCCAAACGUCUAGGAUGUUGAAGGGUGUAGGAAAAUCCGCACCCCGAAUCCGAAGCGUGAUGGCGGUGCCUAGAGCCACAAGUGAUUGAGCCAUGCCGCCAAGAAAAGCUUCUAAGCGAUGAAGUUUAAGUGACCGUACCGCAAACCGACACUGGUAGGUGGGUAGAGUAUACCAAGGGGAGCGAGAGAACCUUCGUUAAGGAAUUAGGCAAAUUUCCCCCGUACGUUCGCAAUAAGGGGGGCCUCUGGUGGUUAGCUUCGGCGAGGCUGCUGGAGGCCGCAGUGAAAUGGCUCUUCCAACUGUUUAACAAAAACACAGGUCUCUGCUAAGUCGAAAGACGAAGUAUAGGGGCUGACGCCUGCCCAGUGCUGGAAGGUUAAGGGGAGAGGUUAGGGGUAACCCGAAGCUUUGAGCCGAAGCCCCAGUGAACGGCGGCCGUAACAAUAACGGUCCUAAGGUAGCGAAAUUCCUUGUCGGGUAAGAUCCGACCCGCACGAAUGGCGUAAUGAGAGGAGCACUGCCUCAACGAGGGACUCGGCGAACAUUGAAGGACGUGUGAAGAUACACGUGACCCGCAGCGGGACAAAAAGACCCCGUGAAGCUUUACUAUAACUUGCCAUUGAGUUAGGGCUAAACUUGUGUAGUAUAGGUGGGAGGCUUUGAAGCUGGGACGCCAGUCUCGGUGGAGCCGCCGUUGAAAUACCACCCUGGUUUAUUCUUGGCUCUAACCUGUCGCCGUUAUCCGGCAUGGGGACAGUGGCUGGUGGGUAGUUUGACUGGGGCGGUCGCCUCCUAAAGAGUAACAGAGGCGCCCAAAGGUUCCCUCAGGCUGAAUGGAAACCAGCCGUUGAGUGUAAAGGCACAAGGGAGCUUGACUGCAAGACAUACGCGUCGCGCAGGUACGAAAGUAGGGCUUAGUGAUCCCACGGUUCCGUGUGGAAGGGUCGUGGCUUACCGGAUAAAAGCUACUCCGGGGAUAACAGGGUAGUCUGGUCCAAGAGUUCAUAUCGACGACCAGGUUCGCCACCUCGAUGUCGGCUCAUCACAUCCUGGGGCUGGAUAAGGUCCCAAGGGUUGGGCUGUUCGCCCAUUAAAGUGGUACGUGAGCUGGGUUCAGACCGUCGUGAGACAGGUCGGUCUCUAUCCGCUGUGGGCGCAAGGGAUUUGAGAGAAGCUGUCCCUAGUACGAGAGGACCGGGAUGGACAGACCUCUAGUGUGCCAGUUGUUCCGCCAGGAGCAUCGCUGGGUAGCUACGUCUGGCAGAGAUAACCGCUGAAAGCAUCUAAGUGGGAAACUCGUCUCAAGAUUAGAUCCCUCAUCCGUAUGGAGUAAGACCGCUAGAAGACUACUAGUUUGAUAGGCGGCAGGUGUAAGAAUAGUAAUAUGUUCAGCCAAGCCGUACUAAUGGUCGAGGGCUUACGAU